RNAcentral lists this ribosomal RNA (253 nucleotides) under uncultured bacterium. Its description in RNAcentral is "partial 16S ribosomal RNA". It matches the Rfam family "Bacterial small subunit ribosomal RNA", at positions 524 to 776 of the family's 1533-position model. The record is from RNAcentral.
UACGUAGGGCGCAAGCGUUGUCCGGAAUUAUUGGGCGUAAAGAGCUCGUAGGCGGCCUGUUGCGUCCGCUGUGAAAACCCGGGGCUUAACCCCGGGCGUCCAGUGGAUACGGGCUGGCUAGAGGCAGGCAGGGGAGAACGGAAUUCCCGGUGUAGCGGUGAAAUGCGCAGAUAUCGGGAGGAACAUCGAUGGCGAAGGCAGGUCUCUGGGCAUUAACUGACGCUGAGGAGCGAAAGCAUGGGGAGCGAACAGG